RNAcentral lists this ribosomal RNA (505 nucleotides) under uncultured bacterium. RNAcentral describes it as "bacterial SSU rRNA". It matches the Rfam family "Bacterial small subunit ribosomal RNA", at positions 28 to 526 of the family's 1533-position model. The record is from RNAcentral.
GAUGAACGCUAGCGACAGGCUUAACACAUGCAAGUCGAGGGGCAGCACAAGGUAGCAAUACUGAGGUGGCGACCGGCGCACGGGUGAGUAACGCGUAUGCAACCUACCUGUAAGAGGGGGAUAGGCCAUUGAAAAAUGGAUUAAUACCGCAUAAUAACCUUCGACCGCAUGGUUGAAGGUUUAAAUAUUAAUAGCUUACAGAUGGGCAUGCGUUCCAUUAGAUUGUUGGUGAGGUAACGGCUCACCAAGUCAUCGAUGGAUAGGGGAACUGAGAGGUUGACCCCCCACACUGGUACUGAGACACGGACCAGACUCCUACGGGAGGCAGCAGUGAGGAAUAUUGGUCAAUGGACGAGAGUCUGAACCAGCCAAGUCGCGUGAAGGAAGAAGGAUCUAUGGUUCGUAAACUUCUUUUAUAGGGGAAUAAAAAAGGGGACGUGUCCCUUCUUGUAUGUACCCUACGAAUAAGGAUCGGCUAACUCCGUGCCAGCAGCCGCGGUAAUAC